This 77-nucleotide transfer RNA is filed under the name Candidatus Enterousia merdequi. RNAcentral describes it as "tRNA-Arg". It matches the Rfam family "tRNA". From Rfam's summary of the family: Transfer RNA (tRNA) molecules are approximately 80 nucleotides in length. Their secondary structure includes four short double-helical elements and three loops (D, anti-codon, and T loops). Lineage: Bacteria; Pseudomonadati; Pseudomonadota; Alphaproteobacteria. The record is from RNAcentral.
GCACCCAUAGCACAACUGGAUAAUGCGUUGCCCUCCGAAGGCAGAGAUUACAGGUUCGACUCCUGUUGGGUGCGCCA